Molecule: long non-coding RNA, 203 nt
Filed under: Prunus persica (peach)
Lineage: Eukaryota; Viridiplantae; Streptophyta; Magnoliopsida; Rosales; Rosaceae
Description: long non-coding RNA (PPER_LNC003247)
Source: RNAcentral
GGAAAUGCAAGAAACUUUAAAAAAUAUUGGCAAUGCAACAUGUAAAAAAAAACUAAUGCAAAUUCAAUAAAUUUAAAAAAAAUGCAACAUGUAUAAAAAAAAAACUAGAGACAUAUUAACAAAAUAUAUAAAUUGCAAGAAACAUUUAAAUACAAAUUAAUAUGACAUAGAAAUUAAUAGAACGAAAAUGACGAAUAAUUUAC